AGAACGAACGCUGGCGGCGUGCUUAACACAUGCAAGUCGAACGCGAAAGGGAUUUCGGUCCCGAGUAGAGUGGCGCACGGGUGAGUAACGCGUAAGUAAUCUACCCCUGUAUUUGGAAUAACCCACCGAAAGGUGAGCUAAUACCGGAUACGUUUGAGAUGAUGCGAAUCAUUUCACAGAAAGGAGGCCUCUGCAUAUGCUUCCGUACAGGGAUGAGCUUGCGUACCAUUAGCUAGUUGGCAGGGUAAUGGCCUACCAAGGCGACGAUGGUUAGCGGGUCUGAGAGGAUGAUCCGCCACACUGGAACUGGAACACGGACCAGACUCCUACGGGAGGCAGCAGUGAGGAAUAUUGCGCAAUGGGGGAAACCCUGACGCAGCGACGCCGCGUGGAUGAUGAAGGCCCUUGGGUCGUAAAAUCCUGUCAGAUGGAAAGAAGUGCAUAAUGGUUAAUACCCAUUGUGUUUGACGGUACCAUCAAAGGAAGCACCGGCUAACUCCGUGCCAGCAGCCGCGGUAAUACGGAGGGUGCAAGCGUUGUUCGGAAUUACUGGGCGUAAAGCGCGCGUAGGCGGUUUACUAAGUCAGAUGUGAAAGUCCACGGCUCAACCGUGGAAGUGCAUUUGAAACUGGCAGACUUGAGUAUUGGAGGGGGUGGUGGAAUUCCCGGUGUAGAGGUGAAAUUCGUAGAUAUCGGGAGGAAUACCGGUGGCGAAGGCGACCACCUGGCCAAAUACUGACGCUGAGGUGCGAAAGCGUGGGGAGCAAACAGGAUUAGACACCCUGGUAGUCCACGCUGUAAACGAUGAGAACUAGGUGUUGGGAUGGUUAAUCGUCUCAUUGCCGCAGCUAACGCAUUAAGUUCUCCGCCUGGGGAG
RNAcentral lists this ribosomal RNA (877 nucleotides) under uncultured bacterium. Its description in RNAcentral is "bacterial SSU rRNA". It matches the Rfam family "Bacterial small subunit ribosomal RNA", at positions 26 to 880 of the family's 1533-position model. The record is from RNAcentral.